UCCAACUUUGACACUGAAUUCUUUUCCUUGCAGUGGGGACAGGCUGGACUCAGCUAGUCACAUUCUCAAACAUUCUCUUUUCUGAUCCAUUCUAUUGAUUCCAGUCCAUUUAUCUCAAGUCCAGUCAACAAGUAUUUGCUGUGUAGCUAGCCCAGAGAGAGUAAAAGAGAAGACACAAAAGAAUAAGUAUAUAAUCAAGUGUUAACCUGAGUAUAAAUAAAUGACUUACUGUAUUGCAGAGACAGUAGAUGAUAAAAAGGAAAUGGGUACCUGUAGUUGCUAAGCUUUGUUGGAAGUUACAAAAUUGAGCAAAAUUUGCACCAUAUUGGGGGCAGCUGGGUAGCUCAGUGGAUUGAGAGUCAGGCCUAGAGAUGGGAGGUCCUAGGUUCAAAUGUGGCCUCAGACACUUCCCAGCUGUGUGACCCUGGGCAAGUCACUUGACCCCCAUUGCCUAGCCCUUACCACUCUUCUGCCUUGGAGCCAAUUGGCUCCAAGGCAGAAGAGUGGUAAGGGCUAGGCAAUGGGGGUUAAGUGACUUGCCCAGGGUUACACAGCUAGGAAGUGGCUGAGGCCAGAUUUGAACCUAGGACCUCCCAUCUCUAGGCCUGACUCUCAAUCCACUGAGCCACCCAGCUGCCCCCUGCUAUAAAUAUUUUUGCACAACAGGUCCUUUCUGUGAAAGGGAAUUCUUCAUUCUCUUUGUCUAUUCUGAGUUUACACUUGUGAAAAGGGAAUCCCUUAUUCUCUUUGCCUAGUUGGAGUUGACACUUUGGUUAACAUGAACAUAAUUACCCCUGCUUAGUACCUCACUAGAAUGAAGACAGGAUAAACUCUCCUUUCUACCUUUUAAAUUGAAUCAACAAAUGAUUGAACACCCUACUUAGUGCUAGGUGAGAAGCCAGCAAGAUACUUGGAGAACUCCACCCUUUUUUUAACUUGAUCAGAAACUUGUGAAUUCUUUUAAGAGUUCACACAAGAGUUCACACCCUCAGAAACUGUUCAGUCAGGAAACUGAAUCUUUUUGAUGAGAAAUUGACCUUCAGAAGGUGAGAAGUUGAUCCCACAGACAGUUCCCCCUGGGCAAUGCUAGACAAUUUGGAAACUGUGAUUAGCCCCUGUGAAGAGGGGAGGAAACAAGAAGUCACCAUAAAAGCAAGCCUGAACUCCCUCAGAGUAGAUGGUCUUUG
RNAcentral lists this long non-coding RNA (1187 nucleotides) under Monodelphis domestica (gray short-tailed opossum). Its description in RNAcentral is "lncRNA (ENSMODG00000050543.1)". Lineage: Eukaryota; Metazoa; Chordata; Mammalia; Didelphimorphia; Didelphidae. The record is from RNAcentral.